ACGGUUGACCUCGGAUCAGGUAGGAAUACCCGCUGAACUUAAGCAUAUCAAUAAGCGGA
This 59-nucleotide ribosomal RNA is filed under the name Verticillium dahliae. RNAcentral's name for it is "partial 28S ribosomal RNA". Lineage: Eukaryota; Fungi; Ascomycota; Sordariomycetes; Glomerellales; Plectosphaerellaceae. The record is from RNAcentral.